CAACCCCCUUGUGCACGCUUCAGAUUAAGCGGCGGCGCUCUCGAUCCGAUCGAGAUGCAGGACGACGGCGGCAGGGCUCGGGGAACAGUGGGGAAGUGGCGGACGUCGAGGCGAGGUGGCCCAGGUCGGGAUCCAAUGCGGCGGCGCGGAGGCCGGCAGCGGCAACGCUCCAUGGCCAUGGCUGCUCGGUCUCUUGGGAAGAAGAGAGGAGGGAGAGAGGAGGUGAGAUGGAGAGAAGAGAAGGCGGAGUAGGGACGGCGCGGCUUCCUGCUGCUGGUCCGGCGAUGGCUCCAGGUUUGAUUUUUGGAUUCCUCUCCUUCCCGCUGCACGAUGGGGGUUGCCCAGCCGCCACUCUCCCUACCCCGUGCACCUCCUCCCCCUAGCCGCACCUCCCUGCCUCCAUGAAGACGCCGUCGCCCUCGCCUGCAUCUCGCUGUUGUUUUGUUGUCCAUGGAUAAGGAGCGACAGAUUUGACAGAAAAUAGAAGAGAAAAUUUUCUAGCGUAAAAGGAGAGGAUCUCAGAAUGAAGGGAUUUUUUAGCUGUAUUUAACGGACAAUUUUGUGUGAUUUUUUCAGAAUUUAUAGCCAAAGUCUAUUUGAUUUGUGCAAUGAAAAUCAGAUCCAUCCAUUGAUUGAUAGAAUUUACCAUCCUUCUUCAUUUUGAGAGGUCAAUCUGCGUUGUUAUCUAUUCAUUGGUGGUGCUUCGAAAAAGAGAGAGCAGGAGGCAAUGACACCGUUGUCAACAGCACGGUGCAGCGAGGUAGGAAGCCGUGUGCAAGGGAUGAAACUGGCAGCGGUGCGCCAUGACAGGCCCCAGCAGAAUUUUGUAUAUGAGGCUUUGCUGUCUGGAUCUGUAUAUAUAUAUAUAUAUACAUGUAUAUAUAUAUAUAUAUAUACAUAUAUAUAUACACAUUUUGCAGGUCAGUGCCCUUACUUACCUUAAAGUUGAAGGUAAAUCUUCAGAAACAACUAUUUUUAGGGUUGGUUCAGUCUGAAACCAAUCUGAAUUUUGUAACAAGGUUCAACAUUGCUCUCUAAAUCUAGAUAUUGUGCAGACCAGUGUCAUUAUUAAGUAGCUUAAAGUUGUAGAUAAAUCUUCAGAAACAACAAUUUUCUUUAAUCAGUACAUAAAACAAUACUAAUUGUUGGUUAUUCAGGGAGUAGGAGCUUGAGGAAUAUGCAGAGAAGGCCAUGCCGUACGUUGCCUGACACAACAACUAGGAACAAGAGCAAAGCUGGACAACGAUCGGCCCAGCAACCACCGGCAUGAUAUCUACACACACCUACAGUUUGUGGCAAACUAAAUAUGUUUUUUGGUGGAAUCAUUAGCCAUUGCUUGAGUUUUGAUGACACAUGCAUUCUCUUUGCCCAAUGUAAGGAGACCACUCUUGCAUACAUGAUGCUCUUGUACUUGUUUCUCUGAGAUGCAUUGCUCUCAUCUACCAGACUGCAUUUCAGCUUGGCAAGCCCACCUCCAAUCCAAACAACUUUGUGUUCAUGAGCCAUGGCAUGGUAGAGUGAUGCAGCCUUUUACGGAUUUCUGGAACUGUUAAUUCCAGUGCCUUCUGAAUUUUGGUCUUGGGAGUUGAAGCGGAUUUGAUUUUGGCGUUACAUUAGUGCGCUUUUCUUUUGCGAAUAUAUUUUCAGCAGUCAAACCGCCUGUUGUGAAUUGAUUUUCAUUGUGAAGCUUGCAGGUGAAUCAGGAUCUGCAUGCUAUGGUCUUGCUGGUGCUAGCGGGAGCUCACGGGCGAUCUCCCAGUCUACCGCCCCGACGGACAGGAGACGCAGCUCUCUCGCUGGGAGACCGGCACGGUCAACCCCAUUGGCGAUAUGUUCCCGGCCUGGAUCAAUCGGUCCAUGCACAACUGGAGCAAGCAGGUUGAUGGAUUUUGAUAAGGAUGUUAGCUUGAAAGUUGCAACGUACAAAGCUUGCUAUUAAGUGUUGUCCCGUUGCCUUUCACGGACACACGUAUGGAUCCGCUAGGCAGGCUAGAUGCCAAUCUCCACACGCCUAGAGUUGCUGGACUUCCGUCCUCCCACAUCAAACUUCAUGCAUAACCUUCGUCCAUCCGCAGAGAAGGUGCCGACUGCAUUGUUCGCUAGAUGGCAGCCUGGGCGUGACUAGGAGCCUAUGACUCCAAUGGUUCAAUUAAGUUUCUACUUUUAACCAUCCCACGCAUGACAGGAAGCAAUUCUUUUUUCUUUGUUCAGAGUUUCUUAAAAGGUAUGUAUGCAUUUAAUCAAAAAUAUUUACUGAUUUAGUCUAAUGACUACUGAGGAAGUAUGUGACAGGGAUGCUUCCCCACUUACCCCGGGAUCGUAAAUGCUGAUUACAAUUGAAGAUCUGCAUAUGUGUGAUUGGGAUUUUAUGUGAAUAUAUAUGAAGCUACUAGGGAGUUUGUGUCUACUGGACCGUGCAUGCAGUAUUUAAUACCCACUGCUUUAGAUGUUGAAUAUAUUUUUACUAUAGUUAUUGGAACUAAUUUUCUUACUUGUAUGACAGAAAUUAAACUGCUACUUGUAUGUAAGAAAUUGUACGAUUUUAGUACUAUCAGUGAUCUAAUACAUGCCCCACAGAGUCUGACGACGGUGGUGAGGGCACAACCAGCUGCUUCCUACAGUUCAAUAGGCAAUCAAAUCAGGAUAUUUAUACAUCAUGUUGAGUCUGAUGAGGUCUCGGACGUGUGGCUUCUCCUUAAUUUUUGACGCCACCAGCUCCUGGUGAGUUUUCUCCCUUGAGUCAUUAUAGAGGGAGUGAAAUGGUCAGAAGGGAGAACUAGAAAAAACCUUGCUGCUGGAGAUGACAUCCACACCAUUUUGUGUGUGUUGGAGUGAUUGAACCAUGGCAAUCAGAGCUGACAACGCAUCUCCCUUCCUCAUACACACUUUUUGGGUAGUAGUGCAUCUAUAUUCCAUUCGUACACCAAGAGAUUAUGUUAUUUUCCUUUUGCUGAAGCAGUUACGGUUGAGUAGUACAUCAUUAUCAUUCUCAACAACUUCAUUCAUGACACCUUUGAUACUCAUGUAUGAGAAAGAAAUUUCACUCAUCGAGUUUCUUUAUUUGACUUUAUGCUGUUCAAGAGGGGAGGCCAGAAGGCGGGCCGGCCGGCAGCGGCAUUCUGUUCGGGGAUGCGUGGAUCUGGUGAUGCUGGUGCAGGGGAACGGGAAACAUCACCUCCGCCAAGGAAUUUCACAUAGCCAAUUUACCUUUCUCCCUAAAGAUUUUUUACUCUGCUAUCAGUACCACUGGUCUUGGGGUUUAGAUUUUGUCAAUAUCAAAAUUUGGGUACUUACCAGCAAACGAGUUGUUGAUCUAUUUACUUAGUCAAGUUCAUUUCUGCUAUGUUAUGUCAGUUAAGCUUCAGAUUCUAGCCUUGAUUAAAUGGCAAUGAUAUUCUCCAAAACCUACUGAUGUCAGAAAUCCUGCUACCCAACAGGAUGGUUUGCCAACUAAUGUGAUCAAAACAUUCCUGCUUUAGAUAGAAGAACUUAUUUCCUGUUA
Molecule: long non-coding RNA, 3502 nt
Organism: Triticum dicoccoides
Lineage: Eukaryota; Viridiplantae; Streptophyta; Magnoliopsida; Poales; Poaceae
Exons: 2
Source: RefSeq, a predicted model, not a curated record